This is a long non-coding RNA of Anopheles funestus (African malaria mosquito), 2093 nucleotides long. RefSeq lists it as uncharacterized. The transcript has 2 exons. NCBI's taxonomy places the organism in Eukaryota, Metazoa, Arthropoda, Insecta, Diptera, Culicidae. The record is from RefSeq and is a predicted model, not a curated record.
GUUUUUGGUGAGCGUGUGUAAGCCGGGCUCGUACGGACCGACAUUAUGUUUUUGGGGUCGUGCCAGGAUCAUAAUGCGUUGCGGUGUGCGAUGAGUUGGAAAGAAGUUUACAGAGAAUUAAUUAAGCAUGUCAGCAAAAAUGGUACGGAAAAAGGAUCAUUCUCAGAUCGGAAAAUCUAAAUCGUAGAAUGAAAGCUUACAAAUGGUUGCUUCUUGCGAGUGAAGUACGGAUGUUUACGCGAAAGCAUAAUCGCAUUUUGCUACACGAUACCGUUGCGUUUCGGUAGGCUCAGCAUUUUUAAUAUGGACUAAUACAGGAAAUGAAUAAUGGAAAGCAAAUUUACUAGAAAAUGUUUUUUUGAAACAAAAAACGUUGGCAAAUAUUGCAUUUACAGGAAAAAUAUAAAGAAAAAGAAAAAUAUAAGGCUUUUAUUUCAGUGAUGUAUGGUACACAGUGCAAUUAUUUAUUUUUUUUUUGGUAAUUAUUAACUAACGAUUGAUUUAACAGAAGCAUGGAUGUUGGUUAGGAAGCUUUUGCUAAGAGAAAGGAGAAAGUUAUGAAGUACAUCGCUCACUCUAAGGGUUUAGAUAUAUUAUUUUCUAACUUCAUUUCACAUCAAUAUUUCUAUAAUAUAUGUUGUUAAAUCCAACUUACUGCGUUCAACAUACUACAAAUUAAUAAUAACGAUGGAACAUUGUAUUUAACUUUUAUGAAAUUUUAUUAUUAUUCAUCAUAUUUCAUUAUAAAAGUUAUUAUAACAUGAUUGAAUUAAUCGAAUGUAAUAAACUAACUUCAUUUCAACAAUUCGCUUAUUCCUCAAACAUACUCCACGGUACCGUUCAAUUAUGAGAAGCGCCAGACGAAUCAUCGAAACAAAACCGAUCGUCAUAAAGAACCCCAGCUCCGGCGAGAAUUUCGCCUGCAACUUAAGUCAGCCAUCAAGCCAUUGUCAGUGUUUUGAAAUUCAAUUGGUCUCCCUAGAAUCGAAAUGGGGCACACCACCAGGGAGUAUAUGCUUUUACGGGCCAGUGUCGGAUGUUGGCUACGAGCAAAACAUUGCGCUUUUGGCAUUUGCCAUCAUAAUGGAUAUGCUUCUGUGCUGAUGUGGCUGAGCUAUGGGGCCCAACCCACUCCCACCCGUCCCUAAUCAGCUUUUACCACUUUCAGGUUUCUUCGGCUUUUGCAACCUUUCGUAGCGUAUCGGAACAACUGACCAUCGGCGGUAUGCAGCAAUCCAUCCCUGGUAUUGGAUGAAACAAACGGCUGAAGUAGUAAUACCACGUUCCCGGAUUCGUAUAGACAGCUUACGGUAACGAAUGUACUGAAAAUAUGAACCGAUUCUUCACCCUCUGGGGAAACAUGGAUUCUUCGUCGUUUUUUUUUUUUGUCUGAUCUACUUCAUCCUACCCGGGAGCGGAUUUUCGCUCGGAUGGUGGGAAUGGAUCCUGUCAAAGGGAAUUAUUCCACCAGGGCAAAUCCUGACGAUGAACCUCGAACUAGCAGCUUUGGCUAAUAGCUUCGAACCGAACAGUAUCUGUACGGUCAAAAUGCAAGCAACAUUUGAGACAGUGAAGGUAACGGAAUGGAUCAAUACGAAAAGCGGAAGAUAGCGAAAGCUAUCGGACGAGCAGAGUCAUAUUUGCUACAGGUUGGAUUGUUUGGCUGUUCGAUUUUAAUAAACAUUCUUUGUUUUCUCGAUAUUUCAUUUUAUGAUAGUCAUGAUGAUAUCCCAAAUUGGAAUUAUUUCUGCAUGAAUCUUUUUUUCUGCGCCAAAUAAAGAGUUCUUUAUAAUGAUUAUUUUCUGUCUAUGUAUAGCAAAAUAAAUGAAAAGGUACAUUUUCUGGACGACAAAAAAAAUAAUUUCUUCAGAUAGACCUAAAGAGACCUGGACCUGGUCGAAUAAUAAGUUGACAAACAUAGAUUCAGCAUUAAAAUAUAAACAUAGAAACAUGGAAUAAUCGUCAAGGGGCUGUCUAAAACUAUUUCUAAGCUACUCUAAUGUAUGCAAUUGGCUUUGAAAUUUUCAUUAUUGUCUGUACGAUAAAACUCUUACCAAAUAUUCCACAAUAAAGGAUUUAUUUACUGCUUGAAA